Molecule: ribosomal RNA, 1503 nt
Filed under: uncultured bacterium
Lineage: Bacteria
Description: bacterial SSU rRNA
Rfam family: Bacterial small subunit ribosomal RNA
Source: RNAcentral
AUUAGAGUUUGAUAGUGGCUCAGGAUGAAGGCGGGCGGCGUGCUUAAUACAUGCAAGUCGAACGGAGACAGUAGCAAUAUUGUCUUAGUGGCGAACGGGUGAGUAACGCGUUGGUGACCUGCCCCGAAGAGGGGGAUAACAGUCCGAAUGGAUUGCUAAUACCCCAUGUGGUCAUAUGGAUUAGAUGCCUAAUGACUAAACGGAUUUAUUCGCUUCGGGAGGGGCCUGCGUCCCAUCAGCUAGUUGGUAAGGUAAUGGCUUACCAAGGCGAUGACGGGUAGGGGACCUGAGAGGGUGGCCCCCCACAAUGGAACUGAAACACGGUCCAUACACCUACGGGUGGCAGCAGUAGGGAAUAUUGGUAAUCUGGGAAACCGGGAACCAGCAACGCCGCGUGCACGAUGAAGGCCUUCGGGUCGUAAAGUGCUUUUUGAAGGGAUGAGGAAGGACAGUACCUUCAGAAUAAGCCUCGGCUAACUACGUGCCAGCAGCCGCGGUAAAACGUAGGAGGCGAGCGUUAUCCGGAUUUACUGGGCGUAAAGCGUGUGUAGGCGGUUUGAUAAGUUGGAUGUGAAAGCUCCCGGCUCAACUGGGAGAGGUCGUUCAAAACUAUCAGACUAGAGAGUGGUAGAGGGAGGUGGAAUUCCGCGUGUAGUGGUGAAAUGCGUAGAUAUGCGGAGGAACACCAGUGGCGAAAGCGGCCUCCUGGCCCAUUUCUGACGCUCAGACACGAAAGCUAAGGUAGCAAACGGGAUUAGAGACCCCGGUAGUCUUAGCUGUAAACGAUGUGAACUUAGUGUCGGUGGGGUUAAAUCCAUCGGUACUGAAGCUAACGCGAUAAGUUCACCGCCUGAGGACUACGGCCGCAAGGUUAAAACUCAAAGGAAUUGACGGGGCCCCGCACAAGCAGCGGAGCGUGUGGUUUAAUUCGAUGUUACACGAAGAACCUUACCAGGGUUUGACAUGCAAGUGGUAGGAAACCGAAAGGUGACCGACCCUUCGGGGAGCUUGCACAGGUGCUGCAUGGCUGUCGUCAGCUCGUGUCGUGAGAUGUUCGGUUAAGUCCGCUAACGAGCGCAACCCUCACUGUGUGUUAUAUGUGUCACACGGGACCGCCGGUCUUAAGCCGGAGGAAGGUGGGGAUGACGUCAAGUCAGCAUGGCCUUUAUAUCCUGGGCUACACACACGCUACAAUGGCCAACACAAUAGGUCGCUAAGCCGCGAGGUGGAGCCAAUCCAUAAAGUUGGUCUCAGUUCAGAUUGCAGGCUGCAACCCGCCUGCAUGAAGAUGGAGUUGCUAGUAACCGCAGGUCAGCUAUACUGCGGUGAAUACGUUCCCGGGGCUUGUACACACCGCCCGUCACGUCAUGGGAGUUGGCAACACCUGAAGCCGGUAUCCUAACCGCAAGGAGGGAGCCGUCGAGGGUGGGGUCGAUGACUGGGACGAAGUCGUAACAAGGUAGGUGUACCGGAAGGUGCGCCUGGAUCACCUCCUUUGUGAAU